UACGUAGGUCCCGAGCGUUGUCCGGAUUUAUUGGGCGUAAAGCGAGCGCAGGUGGUUUAUUAAGUCUGGUGUAAAAGGCAGUGGCUCAACCAUUGUAUGCAUUGGAAACUGGUAGACUUGAGUGCAGGAGAGGAGGGUGGAAUUCCAUGUGUAGCGGUGAAAUGCGUAGAUAUAUGGAGGAACACCGGUGGCGAAAGCGGCUCCCUGGCCUGUAACUGGCACUGAGGCUCGAAAGCGUGGGGAGCAAACAGG
Molecule: ribosomal RNA, 252 nt
Filed under: uncultured bacterium
Lineage: Bacteria
Description: partial 16S ribosomal RNA
Rfam family: Bacterial small subunit ribosomal RNA
Source: RNAcentral